RNAcentral lists this ribosomal RNA (609 nucleotides) under uncultured archaeon. RNAcentral describes it as "bacterial SSU rRNA". It matches the Rfam family "Archaeal small subunit ribosomal RNA", at positions 249 to 859 of the family's 1478-position model. The record is from RNAcentral.
CCAGCAAGCCUGUAAUCCGUACGGGUUGUGGGAGCAAGAGCCCGGAGAUGGAUUCUGAGACACGAAUCCAGGCCCUACGGGGCGCAGCAGGCGCGAAAACUCUACAAUGCAGGCAACUGCGAUAGGGGAACAUCGAGUGGCAUCCACCAUGGAUGUCUGUCCAAUCGUCUAAAAAACGAUUGUCAGCAAGGGCCGGGCAAGACCGGUGCCAGCCGCCGCGGUAAUACCGGCGGCUCGAGUGGUGGCCGAUAUUAUUGAGUCUAAAGGGUCCGUAGCCGGCUUUGCAAGUCCUAUGGGAAAUCCAGCGGCUUAACCGUUGGGCUUUCAUGGGAUACUACAUUGCUUGGGACUGGGAGAGGUAGGAGGUACUCAGGGGGUAGGGGUGAAAUCCUGUAAUCCUUUGGGGACCACCGGUGGCGAAGGCGUCCUACCAGAACAGGUCCGACGGUGAGGGACGAAAGCUAGGGGCACGAACCGGAUUAGAUACCCGGGUAGUCCUAGCCGUAAACGAUGCUCGCUAGGUGUCACGGCAGUCGUGAAUUGUCGUGGUGCCGUAGGGAAGCCGUGAAGCGAGCCACUUGGGAAGUACGACCGCAAGGUGAAACUUAA